This 615-nucleotide long non-coding RNA is filed under the name Heterocephalus glaber (naked mole-rat). Its description in RNAcentral is "lncRNA (ENSHGLG00000050530.1)". Lineage: Eukaryota; Metazoa; Chordata; Mammalia; Rodentia; Bathyergidae. The record is from RNAcentral.
CUCCGUAGAGUUCCGGGUACUUUUCAGACUAUGUGAACUCUUUGAGAUGUCAGACAGCUCUUUAAGGCUGGUAUUAUUCUUGUUUUUCUGAGAAAGAAACUAAGGCCCAAGAAUAUAAAGCAGCUUGCCUCUCACAUCAUAUAGGUGAGCAGCUGCCGGGAAAAAGAUGAGAUGGAAAAGGAUCUUCAAGCUUUGGGACUGCAGUACAUCCCAAACCAGGAAGGCUCCAACCAAAUCCUUCCUGAGGGAUCGAACUCGGGUCCUCGCGCUUGUGCAGCAGGCAACGAAACCACUGAGCUAAAUCCCUGGCCCGUCUGAUUCUUAAAUUAGCCCACUGAUUGUUUUGACAUAGUUCUGGGUAGGAUUAAGAGUGCCCCAACCUGGGUGCGAGUGCUACCUGCCCUAAAGGUGGGUUGCCUGGAUAAAAUAUAAGGGACAGAAAGAGGGUUGCUGUGGUCGAUUGCUGCUUCCUCGCUUGGUGGUUUACUACUGCCUACCUGCCAUGAACUGUUUCUGCUCUGGGACGCCCCUCUGCCAUGUGCCACCCUGCCUUGGAGCCAGCUGAUUAUGGACUGAAACCUCUACAAACCGUGAGCUACAAUAAACCUUUCCUCC